AUGAACGCUGGCGGCGUGCCUAAUACAUGCAAGUCGAGCGAACAGACGAGGAGCUUGCUCCUCUGACGUUAGCGGCGGACGGGUGAGUAACACGUGGAUAACCUACCUAUAAGACUGGGAUAACUUCGGGAAACCGGAGCUAAUACCGGAUAAUAUAUUGAACCGCAUGGUUCAAUAGUGAAAGACGGUUUUGCUGUCACUUAUAGAUGGAUCCGCGCCGCAUUAGCUAGUAGGUAAGGUAACGGCUUACCAAGGCAACGAUGCGUAGCCGACCUGAGAGGGUGAUCGGCCACACUGGAACUGAGACACGGUCCAGACUCCUACGGGAGGCAGCAGUAGGGAAUCUUCCGCAAUGGGCGAAAGCCUGACGGAGCAACGCCGCGUGAGUGAUGAAGGUCUUCGGAUCGUAAAACUCUGUUAUUAGGGAAGAACAAAUGUGUAAGUAACUAUGCACGUCUUGACGGUACCUAAUCAGAAAGCCACGGCUAACUACGUG
RNAcentral lists this ribosomal RNA (496 nucleotides) under uncultured bacterium. Its description in RNAcentral is "partial 16S ribosomal RNA". It matches the Rfam family "Bacterial small subunit ribosomal RNA", at positions 29 to 507 of the family's 1533-position model. The record is from RNAcentral.